RNAcentral lists this ribosomal RNA (1332 nucleotides) under uncultured marine archaeon. RNAcentral's name for it is "bacterial SSU rRNA". It matches the Rfam family "Archaeal small subunit ribosomal RNA". The record is from RNAcentral.
UUGAUCCUGCCAGAGGCGACCGCUAUUGGAGUUCGAUUAAGCCAUGCGAGUAGAAAGAAAUUAGAUUCUUUGCAUACUGCUCAGUAACACGUGGAUAACCUGCCCUACACUGGGGGAUAAUCUCGGGAAACUGAGCAUAAUACCCCAUAGACCACUACGCCUGGAACGGUGAGUGGUUGAAAGCUUCGGCGGUGUAGGAUGGGUCUGCGGCGUAUCAGGUUGUAGGGGGUGUAAUGGACCUCCUAGCCAUCGACGCGUACGGGUUGUGGGAGCAAUAGCCCGGAGACGGAUUCUGAGACACGAAUCCGGACCCUACGGGGUGCAGCAGGCGCGAAAACUUCACACUGCAGGAAACUGUGAUGAGGGAACUCCAAGUGACUGCACAAUGUGUAGCCUUUUCUUGAAUUUUAAUAGUUCUUGGAAUAAGGGCUGGGAAAGACCGGUGCCAGCCGCCGCGGUAAUACCGGCAGCUCGAGUGGUCGUCGCUUUUAUUGGGCCUAAAACGUCCGUAGCCUGUUUGGUAAAUCUGUGGGUAAAUCAAUCCGCUUAACGGAUUGAAUUCUGCAGAGACUGCCAGACUAGGGACCGGGAGAGGUAUGAGGUACUCUGGGGGUAGGGGUAAAAUCCUGUCAUCCUCAGAGGACCACCUGUUGCGAAGGCGUCAUACUGGAACGGAUCCGACGGUCAGGGACGAAGCCUAGGGGCACGAACCGGAUUAGAUACCCGGGUAGUCCUAGGUGUAAACGCUGUGGAUUUGGUGUGUGGGGGUCCGCAAUGGGCCCCAUGUGCCGGAGUGAAGAUGUUAAAUCCACUGCCUGGGGAGUACGGUCGCAAGGCUGAAACUUAAAGGAAUUGGCGGGGGAGCACUGCAACGGGAGGAGCGUGCGGUUUAAUUGGAUUCAACGCCGGAAAACUCACCAAGGCCGACUGUUAGAUGAAGAUCAGCGUAACGAGCUUAUUGGAUUAUCAGAGAGGUGGUGCAUGGCCGUCGUCAGUUCGUACUGUAAAGCGUUCUGUUAAGUCAGAUAACGAACGAGACCCGCAUCCUUAUUUGCGACCCUCAUGUCCGCAUGAGGCGCACCAUAGGGAGAUCGCUGGUGUGAAACCAGAUGAGAGCGCGGGCAACGACAGGUCAGUAUGCCCCGAAUGUCUUGGGCUACACGCGCGCUACAAAGGACAGGACAAUGGGAAGCCACGCCGAGAGGCGGCGCUACCCCGAAACCUGUUCGUAGUUCGGAUCGAGGGCUGUAACUCGCCCUCGUGAAGCUGGAUUCCGUAGUAAUCGUGUUUCAACAUAGCACGGUGAAUAUGCCCCUGCUCCUUGCACACACC